RNAcentral lists this transfer RNA (73 nucleotides) under Acidimicrobiaceae bacterium. Its description in RNAcentral is "tRNA-Pro". It matches the Rfam family "tRNA". From Rfam's summary of the family: Transfer RNA (tRNA) molecules are approximately 80 nucleotides in length. Their secondary structure includes four short double-helical elements and three loops (D, anti-codon, and T loops). RNAcentral also lists the same sequence under 2 other names. Lineage: Bacteria; Bacillati; Actinomycetota; Acidimicrobiia; Acidimicrobiales; Acidimicrobiaceae. The record is from RNAcentral.
CGGGGAGUGGCGCAGUUGGCAGCGCGCCUGCUUUGGGAGCAGGAGGCCGGGGGUUCAAGUCCCCCCUCCCCGA